This 147-nucleotide unclassified non-coding RNA is filed under the name Fusarium solani. Its description in RNAcentral is "partial internal transcribed space 1". The record is from RNAcentral. Lineage: Eukaryota; Fungi; Ascomycota; Sordariomycetes; Hypocreales; Nectriaceae.
AGUUAUACAACUCAUCAACCCUGUGAACAUACCUAUAACGUUGCCUCGGCGGGAACAGACGGCCCCGUAACACGGGCCGCCCCCGCCAGAGGACCCCCUAACUCUGUUUCUAUAAUGUUUCUUCUGAGUAAACAAGCAAAUAAAUUA